RNAcentral lists this ribosomal RNA (529 nucleotides) under uncultured bacterium. RNAcentral's name for it is "bacterial SSU rRNA". It matches the Rfam family "Bacterial small subunit ribosomal RNA", at positions 777 to 1304 of the family's 1533-position model. The record is from RNAcentral.
AAUAGAUACCCAGGUAGUCCACGCCGUAAACGAUGAGUGCUAAGUGUUAGAGGGUUUCCGCCCUUUAGUGCUGCAGCUAACGCAUUAAGCACUCCGCCUGGGGAGUACGGCCGCAAGGCUGAAACUCAAAGGAAUUGACGGGGGCCCGCACAAGCGGUGGAGCAUGUGGUUUAAUUCGAAGCAACGCGAAGAACCUUACCAGGUCUUGACAUCCUCUGCCAACCCUAGAGAUAGGGCGUUCCCCUUCGGGGGACAGAGUGACAGGUGGUGCAUGGUUGUCGUCAGCUCGUGUCGUGAGAUGUUGGGUUAAGUCCCGCAACGAGCGCAACCCUUGAUCUUAGUUGCCAGCAUUCAGUUGGGCACUCUAAGGUGACUGCCGGUGACAAACCGGAGGAAGGUGGGGAUGACGUCAAAUCAUCAUGCCCCUUAUGACCUGGGCUACACACGUGCUACAAUGGAUGGUACAAAGAGCUGCGAACCCGUGAGGGUAAGCGAAUCUCAUAAAGCCAUUCUCAGUUCGGAUUGUAGG